GAGGGCUUAACUGUCUCCCUUUUCCAGUCAAUGAAAUUGAUCUCCCCGUGCAGAAGCGGGGAUUAAAACAUAAGACGAGAAGACCCUAUGGAGCUUUAGACAAAGAGCAGACCAUGUUAAACACACCUAAAUAAAGGACAAAACCAAUUGGCCCCUGCCCUUAUGUCUUUGGUUGGGGCGACCGCGGGGAAACAAAAAACCCCCAUGUGGACUGAAGACAUUCCUCUUCACAACCAAGAGCCACAGCUCUAAGCAACAGAACAUCUGACCAACAAGAUCCGGCACUAAGCCGAUCAACGGACCGAGUUACCCUAGGGAUAACAGCGCAAUCUCCUUUUAGAGCCCCCAUCGACAAGGAGGUUUACGACCUCGAUGUUGGAUCAGGACAUCCUAAUGGUGCAGCCGCUAUUAAGGGUUCGUUUGUUCAACGAUUAAAGUCCUACGUGAUCUGAGUUCCAAACCGGGAGA
RNAcentral lists this ribosomal RNA (468 nucleotides) under Pseudetroplus maculatus (orange chromide). RNAcentral's name for it is "partial large subunit ribosomal RNA". It matches the Rfam family "Bacterial large subunit ribosomal RNA", at positions 2006 to 2624 of the family's 2925-position model. Lineage: Eukaryota; Metazoa; Chordata; Actinopteri; Cichliformes; Cichlidae. The record is from RNAcentral.